Molecule: non-coding RNA, 753 nt
Filed under: Callerebia suroia
Lineage: Eukaryota; Metazoa; Arthropoda; Insecta; Lepidoptera; Nymphalidae
Source: RNAcentral
UUUAUUAUAAAUUUAUUUUACAUAUGAAUUUUAGUAUAAAAUUUUAAUUAUUUAAAUAAUAAUUAAAUUGAAAUUAUAGUAAUUAAAAUUAAAAAAUUUAAGUAAUUAAGAUUUAGUAAUAUAAAAAUUAAUAACUAAUUUUGUGCCAGCAGUUGCGGUUAUACAAAAAUUAAAUUAAAUUUUUUCAGUGUUUAAUAAAUAAAAGUUAAUUAAAAUAAAUAUUAAAUUAUUAAGUGAAAUUUUAAUUUAAUUAAAUUUUAAAAUAAUUUUAUGAUUUAAUAAAUUUAAUAAUAAACUAGGAUUAGAUACCCUAUUAUUUUAAAUUUAAUUAAUAAUACUAAAAUAGUAGAUAAUAAAUAUUGAAACUUAAAUAAUAUGGCGGUAUUUUAGUUCAUUUAGAGGAAUCUGUCUUAUAAUUGAUAAUCCACGAAUAAAUUUACUUAAUUUAAUAUCUUAUAUAUCGUUGUUAGAAAAAUAUUUUAAAAUAAAAAUAAUAUUUAAAAAUUUUAAAAAAAAAAUUAAUUCAGAUCAAGAUGUAGAAUAUAAUUAAGAAAAUGAUGGAUUACAAUAAAAUAAUUUAAUACGAAUAAUUUUAUUAUAAUAUAAAAAUUGAAGGUGGAUUUAAAUGUAAUUUUAAUUAAUUUAUUAUAAUGAUUAAAAAUUAAAAUAUGUACAUAUUGCCCGUCACUUUCAUUUAAAAAUUGGAAUAAGUCGUAACAAAGUAGAAGUACUGGAAAGUGUUUCUAGAAUAAA